This 466-nucleotide ribosomal RNA is filed under the name uncultured bacterium. RNAcentral's name for it is "partial 16S ribosomal RNA". It matches the Rfam family "Bacterial small subunit ribosomal RNA", at positions 28 to 507 of the family's 1533-position model. The record is from RNAcentral.
GAUGAACGCUGGCGGCGUGCUUAACACAUGCAAGUCGAACGAUGAAGCCCAGCUUGCUGGGUGGAUUAGUGGCGAACGGGUGAGUAACACGUGAGUAACCUGCCAUUAACUCUGGGAUAAGCGUGGGAAACGGGGUCUAAUACCGGAUAGGAGCGCCUACCGCAGGGUGGGUGUUGGAAAGAUUUAUCGGUUUUGGAUGUACUCGCGGCCUAUCAGCAUGUUGGUGGGGUAAUGGCUCACCAAGGCGACGACGGGUAGCCGGCAUGAGAGGGUGACCGGCCACACUGGGACUGAGACACGGCCCAGACUCCUACGGGAGGCAGCAGUGGGGAAUAUUGCACAAUGGGCGAAAGCCUGAUGCAGCGACGCCGCGUGAGGGAUGACGGCCUUCGGGUUGUAAACCUCUUUCAGUAGGGAAGAAGCGAAAGUGACGGUACCUGCAGAAGAAGCACCGGCUAACUACGUG